UGGUCUUGACAUCCCGGAGAUCUUCUGGAAACAGGAGAGUGCUUUCAUUAGAGAGAAUCCGGUGACAGGUGCUGCAUGGCUGUCGUCAGCUCGUGUCGUGAGAUGUUGGGUUAAGUCCCGCAACGAGCGCAACCCUCGCCAUUAGUUGCCAUCAUUUAGUUGGGCACUCUAAUGGGACUGCCGGUGUCAAACCGGAGGAAGGUGGGGAUGACGUCAAGUCCUCAUGGCCUUUAUGACCAGGGCUACACACGUACUACAAUGGCCGAAACAAAGGGCAGCCACAGAGCGAUCUGGAGCGAAUCCCGUAAAUUCGGUCUCAGUCCGGAUUGGAGUCUGCAACUCGACUCCAUGAAGUUGGAAUCGCUAGUAAUCGUGGAUCAGCAUGCCACGGUGAAUACGUUCCCGGGCCU
Molecule: ribosomal RNA, 410 nt
Filed under: uncultured bacterium
Lineage: Bacteria
Description: bacterial SSU rRNA
Rfam family: Bacterial small subunit ribosomal RNA
Source: RNAcentral